Molecule: ribosomal RNA, 818 nt
Filed under: uncultured bacterium
Lineage: Bacteria
Description: bacterial SSU rRNA
Rfam family: Bacterial small subunit ribosomal RNA
Source: RNAcentral
GGCGCACGGGUGCGUAACGCGUAUACAAUCUACCUUAUAGAGGGGGAUAGCCCAGAGAAAUUUGGAUUAAUACCCCAUAGUAUUAUGGAGCAGCAUUGCUUUAUGAUUAAACAUUUAUGGCUAUAAGAUGAGUAUGCGUCCUAUUAGUUAGUUGGUAAGGUAACGGCUUACCAAGACCGCGAUAGGUAGGGGUCCUGAGAGGGAGAUCCCCCACACUGGUACUGAGACACGGACCAGACUCCUACGGGAGGCAGCAGUGAGGAAUAUUGGACAAUGGGCGAGAGCCUGAUCCAGCCAUGCCGCGUGCAGGAAGACGGCCCUAUGGGUUGUAAACUGCUUUUAUACGGGAAGAAACACUCCUUCGUGAAGGAGCUUGACGGUACCGUAAGAAUAAGGAUCGGCUAACUCCGUGCCAGCAGCCGCGGUAAUACGGAGGAUCCAAGCGUUAUCCGGAAUCAUUGGGUUUAAAGGGUCCGUAGGCGGGACAAUAAGUCAGCGGUGAAAGUCUGUGGCUCAACCAUAGAAUUGCCAUUGAUACUGUUGUUCUUGAGUGUUUAUGAAGUGGUUGGAAUAUGUAGUGUAGCGGUGAAAUGCAUAGAUAUUACAUAGAACACCGAUUGCGAAGGCAGAUCACUAAUAAAAUACUGACGCUGAUGGACGAAAGCGUAGGUAGCGAACAGGAUUAGAUACCCUGGUAGUCUACGCCGUAAACGAUGGUUACUAGCUGUUCGGAAGUAAUUCUGAGUGGCUAAGCGAAAGUGAUAAGUAACCCACCUGGGGAGUACGUUCGCAAGAAUGAAACUCAAAGGAAUUGACGG